RNAcentral lists this ribosomal RNA (253 nucleotides) under uncultured bacterium. Its description in RNAcentral is "partial 16S ribosomal RNA". It matches the Rfam family "Bacterial small subunit ribosomal RNA", at positions 524 to 776 of the family's 1533-position model. The record is from RNAcentral.
UACGGGGGGGGCAAGCGUUGUUCGGAAUUACUGGGCGUAAAGGGCUCGUAGGCGGCCAACUAAGUCAGACGUGAAAUCCCUCGGCUUAACCGGGGAACUGCGUCUGAUACUGGAUGGCUUGAGUUUGGGAGAGGGAUGCGGAAUUCCAGGUGUAGCGGUGAAAUGCGUAGAUAUCGUUUGGAACGCCGAUGGUGAAAACAGGUCGCUGGGGUUGUGCUGACGCUGAGACACGAAAGCCAGGGGAGCGAACGGG